UACGUAGGGGCCAAGCGUUGUCCGGAAUUACUGGGCGUAAAGAGCUCGUAGGUGGUUUGUCGCGUUGUUCGUGAAAACUCACAGCUUAACUGUGGGCGUGCGGGCGAUACGGGCAGACUGGAGUACUGCAGGGGAGACUGGAAUUCCUGGUGUAGCGGUGGAAUGCGCAGAUAUCAGGAGGAACACCGGUGGCGAAGGCGGGUCUCUGGGCAGUAACUGACGCUGAGGAGCGAAAGCGUGGGGAGCGAACAGG
RNAcentral lists this ribosomal RNA (253 nucleotides) under uncultured bacterium. Its description in RNAcentral is "partial 16S ribosomal RNA". It matches the Rfam family "Bacterial small subunit ribosomal RNA", at positions 524 to 776 of the family's 1533-position model. The record is from RNAcentral.